Molecule: long non-coding RNA, 509 nt
Filed under: Triticum aestivum (bread wheat)
Lineage: Eukaryota; Viridiplantae; Streptophyta; Magnoliopsida; Poales; Poaceae
Description: long non-coding RNA (TAES_LNC019723)
Source: RNAcentral
UGGAGGAAAUAUCAAUUACUCUUUGGGAGCUUUGCCUUUUCCAUGCUCUAAUGCACCUGCAUCUUGGUUGGUUGUCUGAAUGUUCAGAAUUUAUGCUUGAGCUCACUUGACGGAUGGAUGGUAAAUUAAUCUAGCUUUUGUGUUGCGGAAGAAAGACAGGGCGCAAGCUGUUUUAAGUUAGGUGAACAUUGCACACCACCACAAGUUUGGUCACUUAUGGUAACAAGUACUCCCUCCGUUCCAAAAUAGAUGACCCAACUUUAUACUAACUUUAGUAUAAAGUUGGGUCAUCUAUUUUAGAACGGAGGGAGUAUUUAGGUUCACAUUUAAAACGUCUUAGCAGGAACAGAUGUCACUGAAGCAACUUGAAAAUUAUUCGAUACAGCCAAAAGUUUUGCAAAAUCAGACACUUUCCAAACAAAGAAGCGCCAUUUCAGCACAGGUUCUGAAGACUACAUGUAACAGGAAGUGUUCCAUCCUGCAUUAGCAAGUAGGAGAAAAUGUCAAGG